This 1142-nucleotide ribosomal RNA is filed under the name uncultured bacterium. RNAcentral describes it as "bacterial SSU rRNA". It matches the Rfam family "Bacterial small subunit ribosomal RNA", at positions 353 to 1482 of the family's 1533-position model. The record is from RNAcentral.
AGUGAGGAAUAUUGGGCAAUGGCCGAAAGGCUGACCCAGCAACGCCGCGUGGAGGAUGAAUGUCGUAAGAUUGUAAACUCCUUUUUUUAGGGACGAAAAAAUUAAACUCGUAAGGGUUUAGUCUUGACUGUACCUAAAGAAUAAGCCCCGGCUAACUACGUGCCAGCAGCCGCGGUAAUACGUAGGGGGCAAGCGUUGUCCGGAUUUACUGGGUGUAAAGGGCGCGUAGGCGGAUUUGUAAGUCAGAGGUGAAAUCCUACAGCUUAACUGUAGAACUGCCUUUGAUACUGUGAAUCUUGAGUGCGAAAGAGAGAGGCGGAAUUCCAGGUGUAGUGGUGAAAUACGUAGAUAUCUGGAAGAACACCGGUGGCGAAGGCGGUCUCUUGGUUCGCUACUGACGCUGAGGCGCGAAAGCAUGGGUAGCAAACAGGAUUAGAUACCCUGGUAGUCCAUGCUGUAAACGAUGAAUACUAGAUGUUGGUCCUUUAAGGAGCAGUGUCGCAGUUAACGCAUUAAGUAUUCCACCUGGGAAGUACGAUCGCAAGGUUGAAACUCAAAGGAAUUGACGGGGGCCCGCACAAGCAGUGGAGCAUGUGGUUUAAUUCGAUGCAACGCGAAGAACCUUACCUGGGCUUGAAAAGCAGCGGACUGGUUGUGAAAGCAGCCUUCUCUUCGGAGUCGCUGUACAGGUGCUGCAUGGCUGUCGUCAGCUCGUGCCGUGAGGUGUUGGGUUAAGUCCCGCAACGAGCGCAACCCUUACUAUUAGUUGCCAUCAGGUAAAGCUGAGCACUCUAAUAGGACUGCCUACGUAAGUAGUGAGGAAGGUGAGGAUGACGUCAAGUCAGCACGGCCCUUACGCCCAGGGCUACACACGUGCUACAAUGGAUGUUACAAUAGGUUGCUAAACCGCGAGGUGGAGCUAAUCCUAUAAAGGCAUCCUCAGUUCGGAUUGGAGUCUGAAACCCGACUCCAUGAAGCUGGAAUUGCUAGUAAUCGCGCAUCAGCACGGCGCGGUGAAUACGUUCCCGGGCCUUGUACACACCGCCCGUCAAGCCAUGGAAGCUGGGGGUACCCGAAGUCAGUGACCCAACCGUGAUUUAUCUCGGAGGGAGCUGCCUAAGGUAAAACUAGUGACUGGGGCU